CCUACGGGAGGCAGCAGUGAGGAAUAUUGGUCAAUGGACGAGAGUCUGAACCAGCCAAGUAGCGUGAAGGAUGACUGCCCUAUGGGUUGUAAACUUCUUUUAUAUGGGAAUAAAAUGUUCCACGUGUGGGAUUUUGUAUGUACCAUAUGAAUAAGGAUCGGCUAACUCCGUGCCAGCAGCCGCGGUAAUACGGAGGAUCCGAGCGUUAUCCGGAUUUAUUGGGUUUAAAGGGAGCGUAGGUGGAUUGUUAAGUCAGUUGUGAAAGUUUGCGCCUCAACCGUAAAAUUGCAGUUGAAACUGGCAGUCUUGAGUACAGUAGAGGUGGGCGGAAUUCGUGGUGUAGCGGUGAAAUGCUUAGAUAACACGAAGAACUCCGAUUGCGAAGGCAGUUCACUGGACUGCAACUGACACUGAGGCUCGAAAGUGUGGGUAUCAAACAGGAUUAGAUACCCGGGUAGUC
This 460-nucleotide ribosomal RNA is filed under the name uncultured bacterium. RNAcentral describes it as "partial 16S ribosomal RNA". It matches the Rfam family "Bacterial small subunit ribosomal RNA", at positions 338 to 795 of the family's 1533-position model. The record is from RNAcentral.